AGCAGCCGCGGUAAUUCCAGCUCCAAUAGCGUAUAUUAAAGUUGCUGCAGUUAAAAAGCUCGUAGUUGAAUUUCGGGAUCAAUAUGUUGGUCGUGCCUCGGUACGUACUAGCUUAUUGGUUUCUCCCUUCUGACGAACCAUGAUGUCAUUUAUUUGGUGUUAUGGGAAAUCAGGACUGUUACUUUGAAAAAUUAGAGUGUUUAAAGCAGGCUCACGCUUGAAUACAUUAGCAUGGAAUAAUGAAAUAGGACGUUUGAUUCUAUUUUGUUGGUUUCUAGGAUCGACGUAAUGAUUAAUAGGGAUAGUUGGGGGCAUUAGUAUUCAAUUGUCAGAGGUGAAAUUCUUGGAUUUAUUGAAGACUAACUACUGCGAAAGCAUUUGCCAAGGAUGUUUUCAUUAAUCAAGAACGAAAGUUAGGGGAUCGAAGACGAUCAGAUACCGUCGUAGUCUUAACCAUAAACUAUGCCGACUAGGGAUCGGAUGAUGUUAAUUUUUAAUGUACUCAUUCGGCGCCUUAAC
RNAcentral lists this ribosomal RNA (519 nucleotides) under uncultured Glomus. RNAcentral describes it as "SSU rRNA". It matches the Rfam family "Eukaryotic small subunit ribosomal RNA", at positions 569 to 1092 of the family's 1831-position model. Lineage: Eukaryota; Fungi; Glomeromycota; Glomeromycetes; Glomerales; Glomeraceae. The record is from RNAcentral.